UAUUGAAAUAAACCUGAUGGGUUGUUGCUGGUUCUCUAGGGAGCAUUGUGCACACCUAUCAUCUUUAUAUCUCCCCCUGUGCACCUUUUGUAGACCCCCCGGGGUCUAUGUUGCUUCAUUUACCCCAAUGUAUGUUAAUAGAAUGUAUGUGCCUAUGAAAUCUAUACAACUUUCAGCAACGGAUCUCUUGGCUCUCGCAUCGAUGAAGAACGCAGCGAAAUGCGAUAAGUAAUGUGAAUUGCAGAAUUCAGUGAAUCAUCGAAUCUUUGAACGCACCUUGCGCUCCUUGGUAUUCCGAGGAGCAUGCCUGUUUGAGUGUCAUUAAAUAUAUCAACCCCUCUUGUUGAGUGGCUUGGAUGUGGGGGUUUUGCUGGCCUCUCAAAAAGGUUCAGCUCUCCUGAAAUGCAUUAGCAGAACAACCUGUUCGUUCAUUGGUGUGAUAACUAUCUACGCUAUUGAAUGUGGGGCAGUUCAGCUUCUUAACAGUCCUUGGACAAUUUAUCAUUUUAUGUGACCUCAAAUCAGGUAGGACUACCCGCUGAACUUAAGCAUAUCAUA
This 558-nucleotide ribosomal RNA is filed under the name uncultured Cortinarius. Its description in RNAcentral is "eukaryotic LSU rRNA". The stretch from base 168 to 321 matches the Rfam family "5.8S ribosomal RNA". The record is from RNAcentral. Lineage: Eukaryota; Fungi; Basidiomycota; Agaricomycetes; Agaricales; Cortinariaceae.